This 107-nucleotide small nuclear RNA is filed under the name Mus spretus (western wild mouse). Lineage: Eukaryota; Metazoa; Chordata; Mammalia; Rodentia; Muridae. The record is from RNAcentral.
GUGCUCACUUCAGCAGCAUAUGUACUAAAAUUGGAACGAUACAGAGAAGAUUAGUAUGGCCCCUGAGCAAGGAUGACAUGCAAAUUUGUGAAGUGUUCAAUAUUUUU